Molecule: transfer RNA, 66 nt
Filed under: Phytomastax pentaspinula
Lineage: Eukaryota; Metazoa; Arthropoda; Insecta; Orthoptera; Eumastacidae
Description: tRNA-Gly
Source: RNAcentral
AUUUAUCUAGUAUAAUUAGUACAACUGACUUCCAAUUAGCAAGAUUGAUUAAAAUCAAGAUAAAUA